CCUACGGGAGGCAGCAGUAGGGAAUCUUGCGCAAUGGGCGAAAGCCUGACGCAGCCAUGCCGCGUGAAUGAUGAAGGUCUUAGGAUUGUAAAAUUCUUUCACCGGGGAAGAUAAUGACGGUACCCGGAGAAGAAGCCCCGGCUAACUUCGUGCCAGCAGCCGCGGUAAUACGAAGGGGGCUAGCGUUGCUCGGAAUUACUGGGCGUAAAGGGCGCGUAGGCGGAUAGUUUAGUCAGAGGUGAAAGCCCAGGGCUCAACCUUGGAACUGCCUUUGAUACUGGCUAUCUUGAGUUCGGGAGAGGUGAGUGGAAUGCCGAGUGUAGAGGUGAAAUUCGUAGAUAUUCGGCGGAACACCAGUGGCGAAGGCGACUCACUGGCCCGAUACUGACGCUGAGGCGCGAAAGCGUGGGGAGCAAACAGGAUUAGAUACCCUGGUAGUCCACGCUGUAAACGAUGAGUGCUAGUUGUCGGCAUGCAUGCAUGUCGGUGACGCAGCUACGACAUUAAGUACACCUCCGCCGUCGGGGUAGGUACGGUCGGCGAAGAAGUUAAAACGUUAACGAAACGGAAGUUAGACGGCGUGAGACGUGCCGACGGACGACGACGAGGGAGGUUAGG
This 618-nucleotide ribosomal RNA is filed under the name uncultured bacterium. RNAcentral describes it as "bacterial SSU rRNA". The stretch from base 1 to 517 matches the Rfam family "Bacterial small subunit ribosomal RNA", at positions 338 to 873 of the family's 1533-position model. The record is from RNAcentral.